RNAcentral lists this ribosomal RNA (848 nucleotides) under uncultured bacterium. RNAcentral describes it as "bacterial SSU rRNA". It matches the Rfam family "Bacterial small subunit ribosomal RNA", at positions 54 to 892 of the family's 1533-position model. The record is from RNAcentral.
CAUGCAAGUCGAGGGGAAACGACAUCGAAAGCUUGCUUUUGAUGGGCGUCGACCGGCGCACGGGUGAGUAACGCGUAUCCAACCUGCCCAUCACUUGGGGAUAACCUUGCGAAAGUAAGACUAAUACCCAAUGAUAUCUCUAGAAGGCAUCUGAAAGAGAUUAAAGAUUUAUCGGUGAUGGAUGGGGAUGCGUCUGAUUAGCUUGUUGGCGGGGUAACGGCCCACCAAAGCAACGAUCAGUAGGGGUUCUGAGAGGAAGGUCCCCCACAUUGGAACUGAGACACGGUCCAAACUCCUACGGGAGGCAGCAGUGAGGAAUAUUGGUCAAUGGACGAGAGUCUGAACCAGCCAAGUAGCGUGCAGGAUGACGGCCCUAUGGGUUGUAAACUGCUUUUAUAAGGGAAUAAAGUGAGUCUCGUGAGACUUUUUGCAUGUACCUUAUGAAUAAGGACCGGCUAAUUCCGUGCCAGCAGCCGCGGUAAUACGGAAGGUCCGGGCGUUAUCCGGAUUUAUUGGGUUUAAAGGGAGCGUAGGCCGGAGAUUAAGCGUGUUGUGAAAUGUAGAUGCUCAACAUCUGCACUGCAGCGCGAACUGGUUUCCUUGAGUACGCACAAAGUGGGCGGAAUUCGUGGUGUAGCGGUGAAAUGCUUAGAUAUCACGAAGAACUCCGAUUGCGAAGGCAGCUCACUGGAGCGCAACUGACGCUGAAGCUCGAAAGUGCGGGUAUCGAACAGGAUUAGAUACCCUGGUAGUCCGCACGGUAAACGAUGGAUGCCCGCUGUUGGUCUGAAUAGGUCAGCGGCCAAGCGAAAGCAUUAAGCAUCCCACCUGGGGAGUACGCCGGCAAC